RNAcentral lists this ribosomal RNA (1362 nucleotides) under uncultured bacterium. Its description in RNAcentral is "bacterial SSU rRNA". It matches the Rfam family "Bacterial small subunit ribosomal RNA", at positions 27 to 1381 of the family's 1533-position model. The record is from RNAcentral.
GGAUGAACGCUAGCGGGAGGCUUAACACAUGCAAGUCGAGGGGCAGCAUAGGGUAGCAAUACUCUGAUGGCGACCGGCAAACGGGUGAGUAACGCGUAUGCAACCUACCCUGUACAGGGGGAUAACCCGGAGAAAUUCGGACUAAUAUCCCGUAAUAAUAUCCGGGGGCAUCUUUGGAUAUUUAAAGUUCCGACGGUACGGGAUGGGCAUGCGUAACAUUAGCUGGUUGGUAAGGUAACGGCUUACCAAGGCUAUGAUGUUUAGGGGUCCUGAGAGGGUGGUCCCCCACACUGGUACUGAGACACGGACCAGACUCCUACGGGAGGCAGCAGUGAGGAAUAUUGGUCAAUGGGCGCAAGCCUGAACCAGCCAUCCCGCGUGCAGGAAGACGGCCCUAUGGGUUGUAAACUGCUUUUCCAGGGAGAGAAACUUACGCACGUGUUGCGUGACUGACGGUACCCUGGGAAUAAGCAUCGGCUAACUCCGUGCCAGCAGCCGCGGUAAUACGGAGGAUGCAAGCGUUAUCCGGAUUCAUUGGGUUUAAAGGGUGCGUAGGCGGGCUAUUAAGUCAGUGGUGAAAUCCUGCAGCUUAACUGCAGAACUGCCGUUGAUACUGAUAGUCUUGAGUUUGGUUAAGGUAGGCGGAAUGUGUAAUGUAGCGGUGAAAUGCUUAGAUAUUACACAGAACACCAAUUGCGUAGGCAGCUUACUGAGCCGACACUGACGCUGAGGCACGAAAGCGUGGGGAUCAAACAGGAUUAGAUACCCUGGUAGUCCACGCUGUAAACGAUGAAUGCCAGGUGUAGGUGGUAUCGACCCCAUCUGUGCCGCAGUGAACACAGUGAGCAUUCCGCCUGGGGAGUACGGUCGCAAGAUUAAAACUCAAAGGAAUUGACGGGGGCCCGCACAAGCAGCGGAGCAUGUGGUUUAAUUCGAAGCAACGCGAAGAACCUUACCAGGUCUUGACAUCCAUUAAAAGCCGCAGAGAUGCGGUGUGGGCAUGCUCGUAAUGAGACAGGUGGUGCAUGGUUGUCGUCAGCUCGUGUCGUGAGAUGUUGGGUUAAGUCCCGCAACGAGCGCAACCCUUGCCAAUCGUUACUAACAGGUAAAGCUGAGGACUCAAUUGGGACUGCCGUGGACAACACGGAGGAAGGUGGGGACGACGUCAAAUCAUCAUGCCCCUUAUGACCUGGGCUACACACGUGCUACAAUGGUCGCAACAAAGAGGGGCGAAGCCGUAAGGCGGAGCAGAUCUCAAAAAAGCGAUCCCAGUUCGGAUUGUGGGCUGCAACCCGCCCACAUGAAGUCGGAGUUGCUAGUAAUCGCGAAUCAGCAUGUCGCGGUGAAUACGUUCCCGGGCCU